This 1253-nucleotide long non-coding RNA is filed under the name Canis lupus familiaris (dog). Its description in RNAcentral is "lncRNA (ENSCAFG00000035183.3)". Lineage: Eukaryota; Metazoa; Chordata; Mammalia; Carnivora; Canidae. The record is from RNAcentral.
AUGGGUCUCAGCAAAAGAUGCCUAACUCCUUCUGCAAUCCUCAAAUUACACGCAGAAAUUCAGGCCCAGACCCAGUGUUGUUAUUAUCUACUCUGCUCAGAAAAAAAAUGCACAGAGUUCACCUGUGUCCUCAGCUCUAGCAUCAUGACCCCCACCUGUCAGCAUGGCUACUGGAGCCUCAAUCUUAGGCCAGAUCCUACGGUCUCUCCUUCCCUACAUGCAACAUGUUGCCAUGAGACACUGUCAUGCUGCUUGCCUACAGUCUCCCUACUCUGGCUACAGAAUGGACCACACUUCAGACAAAUGGACUACAGCAGGCUCAGCCACAGUUUGGCAAAGCACCAACAACCCAGGAGAGCUGGGCAAAUGGCCAAACAAUUUCAGACUAUAAUGCUUAAUCUUCUCAUAGCAAUUUAGUGAGGCAUGGGUAUGAAUUAGUAUUAUCCUCCAAUGUGACAUAAGGUGCAAAGACCCCAGAAAUAAUAGUAAUAGUGGCAAAAAGAGGCUGGGAGCCAGAUUACAGAGACUGAACAAGCAGAGAGAUAAGGAAACAGGAAGGAAGCAAAGCUAAGAAGGAAAAAGUAGUGCUUAGGUCCAGCCAUAUGAACUCUGGUUCUCUGGCAGGACUUCUGUUAAAGAAGAGUAACUUUUAGGAAAAAAGCAAAACCCUAGUCCUGAAGAUGGUGAAGCCACGCAAGGGAUUCAGUCAGUAGCACAAAGAACAGGUAAGAGCUCAAUUAAAAAUGCUAAGAUUUAUGGUCAAAAGCCAGAUUGUAACUAAGCUAGCAGCGUUGUGUAUGGGUACAGAGGCCUUUCUAGUGCCCUCUCUGGGGGCCAGACUGGUCCGAUUCUGGAGUGUUGCUGAGACAGUUCGCGGGAGGUUGUGGCCCAACCGGAGAGAGUGAAGGAAAGGAAAAUGCAUAAUUAAUCUUAUGGCAGAGAAUCAAUCCUAAACAGAAAUCUCUCCUAGAAAUAAGAGCAGCACUUUGCAAGACGAAUGGAUAAGCUGCAUAGAUCAGUUGAAAGAUUAUCGUAAGAGUUUCUUCGUCAGUCACACAAGGAGGCCAGACCACAUCAGGAGCACCAAAAUCACCAGGAAAAAUAUUUUUCAAAUGCAUAUAUGCAGUAUGUCCCCAAAGACACAGAAUUAGCAGGUCUUGAGGGGGGCUACCUGAGAAUCUGUAUUUUAAAGUUCUCUACAGGAUUAGGAUGUAUUGGCAGGUUCAGAAAUCACUGGACUAGAAGAUUCCCAA